Molecule: small nuclear RNA, 164 nt
Filed under: Dendronephthya gigantea
Lineage: Eukaryota; Metazoa; Cnidaria; Anthozoa; Malacalcyonacea; Nephtheidae
Description: U1 spliceosomal RNA
Rfam family: U1 spliceosomal RNA
About the family: U1 is a small nuclear RNA (snRNA) component of the spliceosome (involved in pre-mRNA splicing). Its 5' end forms complementary base pairs with the 5' splice junction, thus defining the 5' donor site of an intron. There are significant differences in sequence and secondary structure between metazoan and yeast U1 snRNAs, the latter being much longer (568 nucleotides as compared to 164 nucleotides in human).
Source: RNAcentral
AUAUUUACCUGACGCGAGAGGCACCUUGAUCAACUAGGAGGUCCUCUCAGGAUGAGGCCCUUUCAUUGCACUUCGACUGGGUUGACUCCUGCGAUUACCCCUAAUGUGGGUAACUCGAGCGUAUAAUUUCUGGUAGUGGGGACCUGCGUUCGCGCUCGUCCCCU